RNAcentral lists this long non-coding RNA (1229 nucleotides) under Fukomys damarensis (Damara mole-rat). Its description in RNAcentral is "lncRNA (ENSFDAG00000030505.1)". Lineage: Eukaryota; Metazoa; Chordata; Mammalia; Rodentia; Bathyergidae. The record is from RNAcentral.
CUUCUUUUCUAGAGUGAAAUCUUCCAGUGCCUAGAAAGACUUCAUACCUGAGCCUCUCUGUCUCCUUAGACACGAGUCAGCCCUAAGCUGCUCCUGUUCCUAUUCUAUAAAACUUUUCUCAAAAUGUGACAUUAAUAAAAGCAUAAACUCUUUUUCUGUGAAUCUACCUUCUCUUUGAUGUUAAUUUUUAGUGUCCACACAUUCACAUUCGUUCCUGUCUUCCACGCCACAUUGACAAUCACACUAUGUGACCACACGGACACACACGCACACGCACACGCACACACACACACACACACACACGCGCGCGCGCGCGCGCCCCUUUGCCGUUAGCCCCCAGCUUAGUUAUUACAAAUGACCAGUAGAGUGUGGGCCAUGCCAUUAGCAGAACAUUUAAAAUCACUGCUCCAUUUUCUCUGAGAAGCAAAAGAGAAGAAAAUAAGGAAAACACAUCUUUCAAGGCUGAUACCUGACACUUGACUCUGCUCUUUACUGACUGAGCAAGUCACUUCCACAUGGCAGGACUGGAAGGAUGAAGGUGCUCCUUGAACUGCGAGGAGCCCCAGAGCAUACUUCACUUUGGCCAAGAAAGAAAAACCUCCAUGACUCCAGUCUAUCUGUAUCUGCUGAAGAGGUAAGGCUAAUACACUGCUUUACGGAGGGAGCCAUUCUAUGUUAUUUUAAAAUUUCUAAUAAAUAUGUAUAUUUUGUUUUUAAGUUUGGGCACCUGUUGGAUGAAAACGUGGGAUCCAACUUUGAUAACAUUGGCGUGAAUGCCAUGGCUAACAAAGAUCAAGCAAUUAUCCUUUCAAAUGACUAAAUGAUGUCUACUGAGAUACUCAAGGCCACAUGAUUAGGGAAGUCAUCCUGUACAUCUCACAGAGGUAGGAAGCACUGAAGGGCAACUUGUGAUGCUUGGCAGCAGAAGCCUCAAGCGUGGUCCUUUACUAUUAAUAUAUCUAUUCUGUUAAUAAGGGAAAAGAAAAAAAUGUGAGAAAAUGAAAAGAUGGAAGUAAAAUGUCUGUAAAUGGGGAGGGGAGGAGGGGUGAAGGGAGGGCAGGGACAAGGGGAAAAAAUGAGAAUCAAGACCUGUCAUGCAGAGGUACAAGAUCGUAACAAUGAAUGUAACUGUGCUGUAUCCCUGAAAUGUACCAAUAAACUCAUUAAAAAGAAAAAAAUAUCUAUUCUGCCUCACUCUAGGAGACUGUGUAUUUCCCAGAAGAGCCACA